GUUGUAUAGUCAAGUAAUUAAGUGCAUGUGGUGGAUGCCUUGGCAGUCAGAGGCGAUGAAAGACGUGAUAGCCUGCGAAAAGCUCCGGGGAGGCGGCAAAUAUCCUUUGAUCCGGAGAUUUCUGAAUGGGGGAACCCACCUACUUUAAGGUAGGUAUUGCAACAUGAAUACAUAGUGUUGCAAGGCGAACGAGGGGAAGUGAAACAUCUCAGUACCCUUAGGAAAAGAAAUCAAUUGAGAUUCCCUCAGUAGCGGCGAGCGAACGGGGAUCAGCCCAUUAAGUUAUGUGUGUUUUAGUGGAACGCUCUGGGAAGUGCGAACGUAGAGGGUGAUAUUCCCGUACACGAAAGGGCACACAUAAUGAUGACGAGUAGGGCGAGGCACGUGAAACCUUGUCUGAAUAUGGGGGGACCAUCCUCCAAGGCUAAAUACUCCUGACUGACCGAUAGUGAACCAGUACCGUGAGGGAAAGGCGAAAAGAACCCCUGUGAGGGGAGUGAAAUAGAUCCUGAAACCGCAUGCAUACAAGCAGUGGGAGCACCUUCGUGGUGUGACUGCGUACCUUUUGUAUAAUGGGUCAGCGACUUAUAUUCAGUAGCAAGGUUAACCGUAUAGGGGAGCCGUAGAGAAAUCGAGUCUUAAUAGGGCGUUUAGUUGCUGGGUAUAGACCCGAAACCAGGCGAUCUAUCCAUGAGCAGGUUGAAGGUUGGGUAACACUAACUGGAGGACCGAACCCACUGUCGUUGAAAAGCCAGGGGAUGACUUGUGGAUAGGGGUGAAAGGCUAAUCAAGCCUGGUGAUAGCUGGUUCUCCCCGAAAGCUAUUUAGGUAGCGCCUCGGACGAAUACCAUAGGGGGUAGAGCACUGUUUCGGCUAGGGGGUCAUCCCGACUUACCAAACCGAUGCAAACUCCGAAUACCUAUGAGUACUAUCCGGGAGACAGACUGCGGGUGCUAACGUCCGUAGUCAAGAGGAAAACAAUCCAGACCGCCAGCUAAGGCCCCAAAAUCAUAGUUAAGUGGGAAACGAUGUGGGAAGGCAUAGACAGCUAGGAGGUUGGCUUAGAAGCAGCCACCCUUUAAAGAAAGCGUAAUAGCUCACUAGUCGAGUCGGCCUGCGCGGAAGAUGUAACGGGGCUAAAACUAUGUGCCGAAGCUGCGGAU
RNAcentral lists this ribosomal RNA (1163 nucleotides) under Acinetobacter baumannii. RNAcentral's name for it is "partial 23S ribosomal RNA". It matches the Rfam family "Bacterial large subunit ribosomal RNA", at positions 1 to 1207 of the family's 2925-position model. Lineage: Bacteria; Pseudomonadati; Pseudomonadota; Gammaproteobacteria; Moraxellales; Moraxellaceae. The record is from RNAcentral.